GUAUUGUGUGUAGAUUGAUGAGAUUUAAAAAAUAUAUAUAUAAUCCAUUUUAGAAUAAGGCUGUAACGUAACACAAUGUGGAAAAAGUGAAGGGGUCUGAAUACUUUCCGAAUGCACCGUAGAUGGGCAUUCAUAAAAUUAUAUUUCAGGCAACACUGUAGGCUACACCUCAGUAAGCAUGGACUGGCACUGAUGCCUUUUCGACGUCGUUUUUUGGUGCAGUCCGGACCGGCCUUGAUUUCCACAUCCACUGAUAUUAGUUUUUGGUCCGGUCCGGACAUUGGUUUUUGGUCUCACCUAGAAUGGCAGAACGGCAUCCGAUGACAUCAUGGGCCCUGCAUACUUUCAAAAUGAUUCAGCAAUCAAUAUUUAUUUGAAAAAUACUUACAUUUUUUUUGAUUGUCUUAGUAAAGCUUGACAAAAGAAAGAUCCACCUCUGUCGAAGGAAAAGAAAGAUCCACCUCUGUCGAACGGAUACAAAUUUCGACGAUCUUUAGAAAAGUUAUCCAAUUUCUGUUCUUUCCAUUACACAUGCCGCAGUAAUAUUUUUGUUGAAUAAAGCUGGGUCAAUGAGAAACCUGCCUAUUGAUUCUCUCUCUCUGAAGGAGAGGCCCCAUUGGUCAGAGGAGGAGAAGAGAUGAGAAGUACACUAGAGAGCCCCCCAAGUCGCCCCCCCGCUCCUUGUCUCCCAGUCUGGAGCUUGGCCCUACUAGCUUCCCCCCGCUGCCCCCAGCAACAGCCUCCAGAGAAACACUUACCAUAGCAACCAGCAAUCACAAAGCAACCUGCAACCACAAGUGUGCAGUUACAUACAGCAGUACCAGCCAACCAACCACUGUGACAUUACAAGACCUCCAGCCUAUCACAGCAUUGCCUCAGAAAAACCACCCCCCAGAGAAGCUGAAGGAAACCAUGCUAUCUCUCAAGAGGACCACAGCAGCUCCUCCGACCGUGAAAGAACCUAUCCAGACCACGAAGGAAAACAGACCAGCAGUGGAGUCCAAGAAGCCAAGCUACGCUGAGAUCUGCCAAAGGAUACGAGCCAAUCAAACACUUUGCGCAAACCCCAUUGACCACACCCCAUCCGGGGCGGAGCUUGCCCCAGCCUAUCCUGCACAGGAGUCUGACCAGGCUCAGUUACCACGGUGACCAGAGUGAGCUGGUUACUUUUGGUUGGGGAGGGCAAGAGGGGAGGAGGAGAGAAGAGGAGGACGUUUUUCAAGCCAAAGGAAAAAAAUCUAUAGCCCUUUAAUGUUGAGGUUUUCAUUUGUUUUAUUUAUAAAGUUUAGUUAGUUUUAGAAGCCAAGUUGUAGAACUCUUGUUUUUCUCUGCUGUCUGUCUGUCCGUCUUGUGUCUGUCUGUCUGUCUGUCUGUCUGACUGACGGAAGUCUCUGAAUUCUUUACGGUUUAAUAUUGAUUAAUUUAUUUUUAUGAAUAUUGAUUAGUAUUUAGACCAUCAGACAUACUUCUGUAUUAAUUCCUAAGUCUAAAUAACUUCUGCGGAACAGUUACAAUAACUACACUGAACACACACAACAGUUACAGUAACUACACUGGAACACACUGGAACAGUUACAGUAACUACACUGAACACACUGGAACAGUUACAGUAACUACACUGGAACGCACUGGAACAGUUACAGUAACUACACUGAACACACUGGAACAGUUACAGUAACUACACUGGAACGCACUGGAACAGUUACAGUAACUACACUGAACACACUGGAACAGAUACAGUAACUACACUGAACACACUGGAACAGUUACACUAACUACACUGAACACACUGGAACAGUUACAGUAACUACACAGGAACACACUGAAACAGUUACAGUAACUACACUGGAACACACUGGAACAGUUACAGUAACUACACUGGAUCAUACUGGAACAGUUACAGUAACUACACUGAACACAUUGGAACAGUUACAGUAACUACACAGGAACACACUGGAACAGUUACACUAACUACACAGGAACACACUGGAACAGUUACACUAAGUACAAACAGCCAGACACUGAGUGCCAAGAAGCUAAAAAGCAAUGAUUUCAUAUCAAAAUUUGUUUCUGCAUGAGUUUUAGAUGUAUUUAUUUACUGUUUUAUUUAGAUGGGUUGUCUUGUGUGUUUAUUGGUUUGUGUUGUUUUGAGUUUGGAGGGUGGGUGUCUGUUUAGAAGAGAAACAUCUGAGGUGGAUAUUGAUAUGUGUACAUACAACACUGUUAGCAUUAACAACUUGAAUUUGAUUUGGAAUCUGGGGUAGCUGGAGGGAGAGGGUGGGGGAUGUAGAUAAAACUUCCAGUUCGCAUGUCCUAUGUUUGAGAGAGAUUAACUGUGCAAAUGCGGUUAAUCGAUACAGAAUAUUUUUUUUUUCUGUACAGAUGUAAAUAAUUGGACUAUUAUUAAAUAAGUGCCUUUAAUAAUAAACAAUGGAAAACUC
This is a long non-coding RNA of Oncorhynchus tshawytscha (Chinook salmon), 2441 nucleotides long. The record is from Ensembl. NCBI's taxonomy places the organism in Eukaryota, Metazoa, Chordata, Actinopteri, Salmoniformes, Salmonidae.